This 88-nucleotide transfer RNA is filed under the name Escherichia coli. RNAcentral's name for it is "tRNA-Ser". It matches the Rfam family "tRNA". From Rfam's summary of the family: Transfer RNA (tRNA) molecules are approximately 80 nucleotides in length. Their secondary structure includes four short double-helical elements and three loops (D, anti-codon, and T loops). RNAcentral also lists the same sequence under 1 other name. The record is from RNAcentral. Lineage: Bacteria; Pseudomonadati; Pseudomonadota; Gammaproteobacteria; Enterobacterales; Enterobacteriaceae.
GGAAGUGUGGCCGAGCGGUUGAAGGCACCGGUCUUGAAAACCGGCGACCCGAAAGGGUUCCAGAGUUCGAACCUCUGCGCUUCCGCCA